AGAGUUUGAUCCUGGCUCAGGAUGAACGCUGGCGGCGUGCCUAAUACAUGCAAGUCGAGCGGUAAGGCUCUGCACUUAGUAUUUGAUCGGGAAUUUAUUCCUACGGCACCAUUGUGAACGCUCUAGGCAGAGCUGAAGCGACAGUGUUAAAAGAUCGAAUAAUAAGUGUAGAGUACACGAGCGGCGGACGGCUGAGUAACACGUAGGAACGUACCCCAAAGUGAGGGAUAAGCACCAGAAAUGGUGUCUAAUACCGCAUGUGGCCCACGGGCUAAAGCUUUAUGCGCUUUGGGAACGGCCUGCGCAAGAUUAGCUUGUUGGUGAGGUAAUGGCUCACCAAGGCGACGAUCUUUAGCUGGUCUGAGAGGAUGACCAGCCAGACUGGGACUGAGACACGGCCCAGACUCCUACGGGAGGCAGCAGUAGGGAAUUUUCCACAAUGGGCGAAAGCCUGAUGGAGCAACGCCGCGUGCAGGAUGAAGGCCUUCGGGUCGUAAACUGCUUUUACGAGUGAAGAUUAUGACGGUAGCUCGUGAAUAAGGAUCGGCUAACUCCGUGCCAGCAGCCGCGGUCAUACGGAGGAUCCAAGCGUUAUCCGGAAUUACUGGGCGUAAAGAGUUGCGUAGGUGGCAUUGUAAGUAGGUAGUGAAAGCGUUCGGCUCAACCGGAUAAACAUUAUCUAAACUGCAAAGCUAGAGGAUGAGAGAGGUUAUUGGAAUUCCCAGUGUAGGAGUGAAAUCCGUAGAUAUUGGGAGGAACACCGAUGGCGUAGGCAGAUAACUGGCUCAUUCCUGACACUAAGGCACGAAAGCGUGGGUAGCAAACGGGAUUAGAUACCCCGGUAGUCCACGCCGUAAACUAUGGAUGCUAGCUGUUAGAGGUAUCGACCCCUCUAGUAGCGAAGCUAACGCGUUAAGCAUCCCGCCUGUGGAGUACGGUCGCAAGACUAAAACAUAAAGGAAUUGACGGGGACCCGCACAAGCGGUGGAGCGUGUUGUUUAAUUCGAUGGUAAGCGAAGAACCUUACCCAGGCUUGACAUCCCUUGAAUUUUUGCGAAAGCAAAGAGUGCUUUAUUGAGCAAGGUGACAGGUGAUGCAUGGCCGUCGUCAGCUCGUGUCGUGAGAUGUUUGGUUAAGUCCAUCAACGAGCGCAACCCUUGUUGUCAGUUGUAUUUUUCUGGCUAGACUGCCCUGGUAACAGGGAGGAAGGAGGGGAGGAUGUCAGGUCAG
This 1230-nucleotide ribosomal RNA is filed under the name Candidatus Saccharibacteria bacterium UBA6034. Its description in RNAcentral is "bacterial SSU rRNA". It matches the Rfam family "Bacterial small subunit ribosomal RNA", at positions 8 to 1193 of the family's 1533-position model. The record is from RNAcentral. Lineage: Bacteria; Candidatus Saccharimonadota.